Molecule: non-coding RNA, 769 nt
Filed under: Cylas formicarius (sweet potato weevil)
Lineage: Eukaryota; Metazoa; Arthropoda; Insecta; Coleoptera; Brentidae
Source: RNAcentral
CGGGAUUUUUAAAAAUUGAAUAUUUUAGUUCAUUUUUUUAUAUAACUUAUGAAUUAUAUGUAAGUUUUGAUUUUUAAAUAAAUCGUUAUGCAAUAAAGAUGAUUAAAUAUUAAGGAAACUUAGAUUUAGUAAAAAAUUUAAGUACUGACAAAAUUUGUGCCAGCAGUAGCGGUUAUACAAAUAGUGCAUUAUAAAAUUUUUAAGCUUUAAUUAAUUAGUUUAUUUAAAAUAUAAGUAAAAGUUUAUUAGGUGAAAUUUUAAAUUAUUAAUAAAAUUUAUUUAAAAUUAAUGAAGUUAGGAAAUUUAUUUUUAAACUAGGAUUAGAUACCCUAUUAUUUUAAAUGUAAAUAUAGUAAGCUUAAUUAUUAGAAGUUAUGGUCUUCAAAAUUAAAAAAAAUGGCGGUAUUUUAGUCUAUUUAGAGGAACCUGUUUAUUAAUUGAUAGUCCACGAAUUUAAUUACUUUUUCUUUAAGUUUAUAUAUCGUCGUUAAAAAUAUUUUUAUUGAAAUUAAAUAUUUAGUUGUUUUUUUUAAGAAAAAAUUUCAGAUCAUUAUGUAAUUUAUGAAAAAGAUUAAAUGGGUUACAUUAAAUUAAUUUAUAUUGAUUUAUUAAUAUAAUUAUUAAUAAUAAAGCGGAUUUAAAAGUAAUAUUAAUUAAAUUAUUAAUAUGAUUUAAGCUCUAAAAUAUGUACAUAUUGCCCGUCACUUUCACUUUAAAGUGGAAUAAGUCGUAACAAAGUAGAGGUACCGGAAGGUGUAUCUAGAAAGAU